RNAcentral lists this transfer RNA (73 nucleotides) under Aphaenogaster famelica. Its description in RNAcentral is "tRNA-Trp". The record is from RNAcentral. Lineage: Eukaryota; Metazoa; Arthropoda; Insecta; Hymenoptera; Formicidae.
UAAAAUUUUAAGUUAUAAAAAUAAACUAUAAACCUUCAAAGUUUAUAAAAUAAUUUAAUAUUAUAAAUUUUAA